This 154-nucleotide non-coding RNA is filed under the name bacterium. RNAcentral describes it as "6S RNA". It matches the Rfam family "6S / SsrS RNA". From Rfam's summary of the family: E. coli 6S RNA was the first non coding RNA to be sequenced, but its function was unknown until recently. It consists of 184 nucleotides that fold into an extended hairpin structure with a large single-stranded internal bulge. The 6S RNA specifically associates with RNA polymerase holoenzyme containing the sigma70 specificity factor. The record is from RNAcentral.
GGUUCCCUGUCGUGCUCGUGAUGGCAUUUAAAUCCUGAGCUAACACCAAAACAUCGGGGGUCCUUAUUUCUCUCACCAAGGUGAGGGGAAGGGAUACCCACCUGAGUUUAGAGUUCAUAGGAUGAAGUGUCACACGGCAACCGGCGGAGAACCC